Molecule: transfer RNA, 84 nt
Filed under: Hydrocarboniphaga effusa AP103
Lineage: Bacteria; Pseudomonadati; Pseudomonadota; Gammaproteobacteria; Nevskiales; Nevskiaceae
Rfam family: tRNA
About the family: Transfer RNA (tRNA) molecules are approximately 80 nucleotides in length.
Source: Rfam by way of RNAcentral
GCCCGAGUGGUGAAACUGGUAGACACAAGGGACUUAAAAUCCCUCGACCUCACGGUUGUGCCGGUUCGAUUCCGGCCUCGGGCA